GGGCGGUUAGCUCAGUGGUUAGAGCGCCUGUUUUACACACAGGAGGUCAGAGGUUCAAGUCCUCUACCGCCCACCA
Molecule: transfer RNA, 76 nt
Filed under: Chloroflexota bacterium
Lineage: Bacteria; Bacillati; Chloroflexota
Also listed under: 3 other names
Description: tRNA-Val
Rfam family: tRNA
About the family: Transfer RNA (tRNA) molecules are approximately 80 nucleotides in length. Their secondary structure includes four short double-helical elements and three loops (D, anti-codon, and T loops). Further hydrogen bonds mediate the characteristic L-shaped molecular structure. tRNAs have two regions of fundamental functional importance: the anti-codon, which is responsible for specific mRNA codon recognition, and the 3' end, to which the tRNAs corresponding amino acid is attached (by aminoacyl-tRNA synthetases). tRNAs cope with the degeneracy of the genetic code in two manners: having more than one tRNA (with a specific anti-codon) for a particular amino acid; and 'wobble' base-pairing, i.e. permitting non-standard base-pairing at the 3rd anti-codon position.
Source: RNAcentral